UGGUCGCCGGCAUGCGCCGGCUUGGCUUGCGCGCCGUGCAAUGGCGCGCCCGGCGCGACUGACGUGCCGGGUGCGGUCGCGCCGUGCGCUACCGG
Molecule: transfer RNA, 95 nt
Filed under: Roseomonas fluvialis
Lineage: Bacteria; Pseudomonadati; Pseudomonadota; Alphaproteobacteria; Acetobacterales; Roseomonadaceae
Description: Roseomonas sp. S08 tRNA-Cys
Source: RNAcentral